UGGUACUGAUGGUCGGACUCGAACCGACAUGAGUAUUGCUCGCUUGAUUUUGAGUCAAGUGCGUCUACCAUUCCGCCACAUCAGC
This 85-nucleotide transfer RNA is filed under the name Aster yellows witches'-broom phytoplasma AYWB. RNAcentral's name for it is "tRNA-Leu". The record is from RNAcentral. Lineage: Bacteria; Bacillati; Mycoplasmatota; Mollicutes; Acholeplasmatales; Acholeplasmataceae.